GGUUGAAGAUCUAAGGUUUUGAGAGAGGCUAUGGGUUGAUUUUUGUUGGAUUGGCAAAGUGAUGGCAAAAGUUCUCUUCUUGGAGUUGGUUUUCUUUUUUUGUUUCUUUUUAUCUCCCUUUCUUUUCCUAUAACAUGUGAGAAAGGAUAGCAGUUUUUUAUUGUUAAGCCAUUCAAAUUAGUUCUUCAUUCCUUAGCAUCAUGCAAAAAAUAAACGAGAAAGGAGUAUUCUUCACACUAUUUCAAAUAAAUUUUUCGUUUUACUUGGUGGUGAUAAGAUUAGAUCUUUAUUUUAGGUACUUGAGUUAAUUGUUAAUAAUUAUUAUAAAUCAUAGAUUCAAUGUCUUUAUUUAAUGGAUUUAUGCUCUUUAAGUAGUUGGAUUUCUUGUUUUUACCUUAUUUUGUUAAAUUAGUUUCUGUAUUUUGCAAAAAUUUUACAAAUUUGUGUAUAAUGAUAGUACCGUUACAGUAAUGUUAUGGCCAUGACUUGUGAUAGCCCUUUUUCUUUUAUAUGUGAUCAUAACCAUUAAUACAGCUGCAACUGUGAUUUAAAUCCAUGGUCAAAAUUGAAAAGAUAUGCAAAGGUUUAGGUUCUGUAAGCUAUUAAAGCUUAUUCCAAAAAUGAAAUAAUAUUAAUUAUUAAUUGAUUAUGUCAUUGUGCUAAGUUGGACAAUGAACAUGCCUUAAAAAGAUUGGCUAAAACUUUUAAUUAAUGAUUUUUUUUAAUCAUUUGGCCUUAUAUUUCACUUUUUAUGGCCUUCUUAACCCCUAUAUGUAGAAUUAAUUUUUUCUAGACUUCUGUAAACUUCAAAUUUUGCAUCUUUAUCUUGUUGUUCUGAAUUUAUGGCCUUCUUUAACUUCCGCAGGUUUACAUGUUGCGCUUACCAUGUUUACUGGCUACCUUGUGGGAUAUGCAGCAUUCAGGGCAUUGUUUGGCCACAAUCCUGCAAUGAGUGCUGCUGGAGGGAUUCUUGGUUUAGUGUGUGGAAUGCUUGUAGAAACACUCCUUUUCAUUAUUAGAACUUCUAAUCAAGAUCCUAAAUCAUCAACUUCUACGUCUACGCUGAAGAAGAAUCAGUAGACUUGAUACAAAGAGGUUGGUUUUCUGAAUCUGUGUUGUUGGAUUCUGAGUUGUAAAGGUAGUUUAUUUAUCAAUAUUUGUUGUUUCCCGUCAUCUGAAUACCGGAUUCUGAGUAGACAUGGUCACCGUGUAUGCGGAACUCGGUUUGGAAAUUCAACAACGGGCUUGAUGCUAAAUUUUGUUCAUGUCCUAAGUGAAGUGCAAUAAAAACUUGAACAGUCUCUCUUUCUUCUUCUUUAAAUACUGAAAAAGAUUCAAAAUUUUGAAUGUAUCAAUU
RNAcentral lists this unclassified non-coding RNA (1357 nucleotides) under Hevea brasiliensis (rubber tree). Lineage: Eukaryota; Viridiplantae; Streptophyta; Magnoliopsida; Malpighiales; Euphorbiaceae. The record is from RNAcentral.